CCUACGGGAGGCAGCAGUAGGGAAUCUUCCACAAUGGGCGAAAGCCUGAUGGAGCAACGCCGCGUGGGUGAAGAAGGUCUUCGGAUCGUAAAACCCUGUUGUUAGAGAAGAAAGUGCGUGAGAGUAACUGUUCACGUUUCGACGGUAUCUAACCAGAAAGCCACGGCUAACUCCGUGCCAGCAGCCGCGGUAAUACGGAGGAUGCGAGCGUUAUCCGGAUUUAUUGGGUUUAAAGGGUGCGCAGGCGGUCUGUUAAGUCAGCGGUCAAAGCCCGGGGCUCAACCCCGGCCCGCCGUUGAAACUGGCAGUCUCGAGUUGGAGAGAAGUAUGCGGAAUGCGCGGUGUAGCGGUGAAAUGCAUAGAUAUCGCGCAGAACUCCGAUUGCGAAGGCAGCAUGCCGGCUCCACACUGACGCUGAGGCACGAAAGCGUGGGUAUCGAACAGGAUUAGAUACCCCGGUAGUC
Molecule: ribosomal RNA, 464 nt
Filed under: uncultured bacterium
Lineage: Bacteria
Description: partial 16S ribosomal RNA
Rfam family: Bacterial small subunit ribosomal RNA
Source: RNAcentral